GGUUGCACCUGUGGCACAGGGAAGUUCCUGGGCUAGGGGCUGAAUUGGAGCUGCAGCUGAGGCCUACACCACAGCCAUAGCAAAACCAGAUCUGAGCCACAUCUGCAACCUAUGCCAUGCCCCUGGCACAACGCCAGAAUCCUUGACCCACUGAGCAAGGCCAGGGAUCGAACCUGCACUCUCAAAGACACAAUAUUGGGUCUUUAAUCUGCUGAGCCAUAAUGGGAACUCCCUCUUUCUUACUUUUUUUUUUUAAGCAAGAAUAUUAAAAGAGAGAACUUACAAAACUCAAGAGAUAUGGAGAAGAAUUAGAUCUAAUAACUUUUUGAAUUUACCUCAUAUUAGAUAAUCUUUUUGAAUGCAAUUCUACAUCUAUCUAAAGAAACUAUCCCUUUAAAAUUCAAACAACAUGAACUUAGUUCUCUGCCUUUCUCAGAUUUUUAAAAACAGUACUUGGUCAUUAAAGCUUACAGAGUCACAAAACAUGGGCCACACAAAACCCGCACACAAAAACGUUCAUUGCGGAGAGUUCCUGUUGUGGCUCAGUAGUAACAAACCCUACUACUAUCCAUCAGGACGAGGAUUCAAUCCCUGGCCUCGCUCAGUGGGUUAAGGAUCCAGCAUAGCCAUGGGCUGUGAUGUAGGUCACAGACGCAGCUCAGAUCUGGGUGUUGCUAUGGCUGUGGCUUAGGCCAGCGCCUACAGAUCCAAUUCAACCCUAGUCUGGGAACUUCCAUAUGGCACAGGUGUGGCUCUAAAAAGACAAAAUAAAAAAAUAAAAAGAGAGAGAGAGGAAAAAUGUUCAUUGAAUCAUUAUUCAUUAUGGCCAAAACAUGGAAAUAACCCAAAUGUCCAUCAAAUGAUGAAUGAAUAAGCAAUGGAAUAUUAUUUGGCAAUGAAAAGGAAUGGAGUACUGACAAAUGUUGCAACAUGGAUGAAUCUCAAAAAUAUCACGUUAAGUGAAAAAAGACAGGCACAGAAGACUACAUAUUGUAUGGUUCUACUUAUAUGAUCCAAGGAUAGGCAAGUCUAUAGGGACAGAAAGUAGAUUAGUAGUUGCAAGGGGAUGAUGGAAAUGGGGAGAUUAGGGAGGUGUACACUUUAAAUGUGUGAAUGAAUCUCAUGGUAUAAAAAAUAUAUCUCAAUAAAGCUGUUUUUUUAAAAAAAGAGGACAAAGAGAAAAAUUCCCACAAUCACAAGUUAAUGACUGCUGUUUUUAAGAAUGACUAUUGCGGAGUUCCCGUCGUGGCGCAGUGGUUAACGAAUCCGACUAGGAACCAUGAGGUUGCGGGUUCGGUCCCUGCCCUUGCUCAGUGGGUUAACGAUCCGGCAAAGGUCACCAAACCUCCUGGGUGCAGAGGAAGAAUUUUCAAAUUUUUGAAAUCAAACUUUUCCAAUUUAUGGAAAUUACAGUUCUUUCAAAUUAACGAUACAACUACCUUGCAUCAACUGGUACACAUAAUGAUGCACAUAGGCAAACAGUAAUAAAGGCAAAUUUUACCAGUGUGCCAGCAAUUCAGUUUAAAUGAGAUGAAAAAGAAAAAUAGUAUUAUGUAAAAUUAGGAUAAAAGUAAAUUUAGAGAAAGGGGUUGUUUGGGAAUUAUAAUGUUGUUUCCCACUAAUUUCACUUUCUUCCUUUUUCAGGUCUAUAAGAACAAAUACAAUUCAUCUUCUACCCAUAGUGGCCAGCCUUACUUUCUGAUAAGAGGCAAGAGCUACAGAGACCUUGGGCAGCCACUUUGACUUGCUAUCUUUUAGCUCUGUAAGUAAUCAAAUAUCUGAAUCCUGGUCCCCAUGCUUGUAACAAAAGAAUAAUAUCACCAGUUUGACCAAGUUUUUGAGGACAGUGAACAAUAUGUAAACCCUGGAGCACAGUGCCAACACACAUGGAGGCCUGGGGCAAAGUAGGCACAGGCUGGCAUGAUGGACAUGGGACCAUCCGGCUCCUCGCAAAGAAAGACUUUUGGCACUGAUGGGAAAUGUCACAGAAUCCUUGUCAGGCAUGAUCUCAAAGGGGCUGCAGUUAAGGGAAGGACAUGGCCAAACCUACCAGAUGCUGAAAAUCAAGGAGGGCCUUUGCUAGAUGCCUCAUUAGAAUGCCAACAAGUGGUAUGGUUGCCCUUGGCUUUAAGGACACAAAGUAUACUUAUUUUCAAAUAUGAAAAUGAGAAUUAUUGUCUACUGAGGACAAAGUUAACAAAUGGGGUUGAAAUAGAAUAUAAACAAUUCCCAUUCCGCUUCUCAGAUUGCAGGACUAAUCGGGGUCUUCAGAUCAGUAAACUAGAGCUGUGAAAUU
This 2296-nucleotide long non-coding RNA is filed under the name Sus scrofa (pig). RNAcentral describes it as "lncRNA (ENSSSCG00005044456.1)". Lineage: Eukaryota; Metazoa; Chordata; Mammalia; Artiodactyla; Suidae. The record is from RNAcentral.